UCUUGAAUAGAUCGAUCAGAAAGAAUAACUUUAUGGUGGUUUCGUACCCGACAAUAAUCUCUUCGUUUGUUCUCCGCUAUUAGUGACUUUGGAGUGACUCUUUGUUGCAUUUUGAGGGCUAGUUAUAUGAUCCAAUUAUGUUAUCUUUGUUGAGAGAACUUCACUAGUGAAAGUAUGAACCCUAGGCCUUGUUUCCACGCAUUGCAAUACCGUUCGUGCUCAGUUUUACCAUUUGUUACCUUGCUGUUUUUGUAAUUUCAGAUUACAAAAACCUAUAUCUACCAUCCAU
RNAcentral lists this long non-coding RNA (289 nucleotides) under Hordeum vulgare. RNAcentral's name for it is "long non-coding RNA (HVUL_LNC001303)". The record is from RNAcentral. Lineage: Eukaryota; Viridiplantae; Streptophyta; Magnoliopsida; Poales; Poaceae.